CAGCUUCCUCAUCCUACACGUGGAUACCCUUCACUGCCUGUUUGAUACUUUCCAGCAGAGCCUUGCAGUCCGGGGAAUACUCCCGUUCCAGAUUGCUGUACAUAUCUAUUGCUCUCCAUAGAUGUUAUCUGAAACCAUGAAGCAAAGCAACGUGUGGUGGUGUGAACAGCAGAACAACGCCAAGGGCUGAAGAGUUCUCAAAAUGCUCCCAAAAAUGCCAUAGGACAACCCGAAGCAGUGCGAUGAGAAGUGUAUUUACCUGAUAUGUGACCUUGGCCAUCACAGCCUAGCACCGGACAUCUACAG
Long non-coding RNA from Podarcis raffonei (Aeolian wall lizard), 306 nucleotides. RefSeq lists it as uncharacterized. The record is from RefSeq and is a predicted model, not a curated record. The transcript is spliced from 3 exons. NCBI's taxonomy places the organism in Eukaryota, Metazoa, Chordata, Lepidosauria, Squamata, Lacertidae.